RNAcentral lists this ribosomal RNA (253 nucleotides) under uncultured bacterium. Its description in RNAcentral is "partial 16S ribosomal RNA". It matches the Rfam family "Bacterial small subunit ribosomal RNA", at positions 524 to 776 of the family's 1533-position model. The record is from RNAcentral.
UACAUGGGGUGCAAACGUUGCUCGGAAUCAUUGGGCGUAAAGCGCGCGUAGGCGGUUACACAAGUUGGAUGUGAAAGCCCUCGGCUUAACUGAGGAAGUGCAUCCAAAACUGUGCAGCUAGAGUACUAAAGAGGGUCGCGGAAUUCCCGGUGUAGAGGUGAAAUUCGUAGAUAUCGGGAGGAACACCGGUGGCGAAGGCGGCGACCUGGGCCAAUAUUGACGCUGAGGUGCGAAAGCGUGGGGAGCAAACAGG